GACUCUCGGCAACGGAUAUCUUGGCUCUCGCAUCGAUGAAGAACGUAGCGAAAUGCGAUACUUGGUGUGAAUUGCAGAAUCCCGUGAACCAUCGAGUAUUUGAACGCAAGUUGCGCCCGAAGCCGAAGCAUUUUGGCCGAGGGCACGUCUGCCUGGGUGUCACGCA
Molecule: ribosomal RNA, 166 nt
Filed under: Mammea suriga
Lineage: Eukaryota; Viridiplantae; Streptophyta; Magnoliopsida; Malpighiales; Calophyllaceae
Description: 5.8S ribosomal RNA
Rfam family: 5.8S ribosomal RNA
About the family: 5.8S ribosomal RNA (5.8S rRNA) is a component of the large subunit of the eukaryotic ribosome. It is transcribed by RNA polymerase I as part of the 45S precursor that also contains 18S and 28S rRNA. Functionally, it is thought that 5.8S rRNA may be involved in ribosome translocation.
Source: RNAcentral